Long non-coding RNA from Silurus meridionalis, 390 nucleotides. RefSeq lists it as uncharacterized. The record is from RefSeq and is a predicted model, not a curated record. Lineage: Eukaryota; Metazoa; Chordata; Actinopteri; Siluriformes; Siluridae. The transcript has 2 exons.
UGAGAGCAUUGUGAAAACAUUCAAUUACAUUACCAUUAUAUACAAUUCCUUAUGAUAUGAAUCCUUUAAAACAAGUAUUGAUGGGUAUUUGCUGUGCUGCCUUACUGAUCCCUUUGUUGAUGAACAAAAAAUACAAGGAAAUCACUUCUAUUGUUCUGGAGCAAUGGAGAAAGACCAGGUGGUGAGUCCAAAUGUACCUUGUUCCAGAGUAAGACGCGAGGUGAAUGAAGUGAUGCAUCUAUCAAGUCAAGCGAAGUCAACCAGAAGACGUCGAGUCACUUCAUGACAGAAGUCCUGGCUGCAAAUCACCAUGCUGGGUUUACCACCAUGCUCUCCUUCUAUAAGUUUAAUUCUUGUUCAUUGAGUAUUCAUUAAAGGAGUUUCAAAUGA